CGGCUCAGUAACACGUGGAUAACCUACCCUCAGAUCUGGGAUAACUCCGGGAAACUGGAGAUAAUACCGGAUAAUCCGUGAACGCUGGAAUGCCUUACGGUUGAAAGCUUUAGCGUCUGAGGAUGGGUCUGCGGCCGAUUAGGUAGUUGCUGGGGUAACGUCCCAACAAGCCGAUAAUCGGUACGGGUUGUGAGAGCAAGAGCCCGGAGAUGGAUUCUGAGACACGAAUCCAGGUCCUACGGGGCGCAGCAGGCGCGAAAACUUUACACUGCGCGAAAGCGCGAUAAGGGGACCUCGAGUGCGUGCGCAAAGCGUACGCUUUUCAGAUGCCUAAAAAGCAUCUGGAAUAAGGGCCGGGCAAGACCGGUGCCAGCCGCCGCGGUAACACCGGCGGCUCAAGUGGUGGCCGCUAUUAUUGGGCUUAAAGGGUCCAUAGCCGGACCAGUUAGUCCCUUGGGAAAUCUUACGGCUUAACCGUAAGGCUGCCAAUGGAUACUGCUGGUCUUGGGACCGGGAGAGGCAAGAGGUACCUCAGGGGUAGGAGUGAAAUCCUGUAAUCCUUGAGGGACCGCCAGUGGCGAAGGCGUCUUGCUAGAACGGGUCCGAUGGUGAGGGACGAAAGCUAGGGGCA
This 631-nucleotide ribosomal RNA is filed under the name uncultured euryarchaeote. Its description in RNAcentral is "bacterial SSU rRNA". It matches the Rfam family "Archaeal small subunit ribosomal RNA", at positions 83 to 719 of the family's 1478-position model. The record is from RNAcentral. Lineage: Archaea; Methanobacteriati; Methanobacteriota.